UUGUUGCAGUUAAAAAGCUCGUAGUUGGAUUUUGGUUAAGAGGGCGCGGUCGGCCGUUUGGUCUGUACUGCGUUGUCUUGACUUCCUGAUGAGGACAUGCUCUUGGUUAACGCUGAGACAUGGAGUCAUCGUGGUUACUUUGAAAAAAUUAGAGUGUUCAAAGCGGGCUUACGCUUGAAUAUAUUAGCAUGGAAUAACACUAUAGGACUCCUGUCCUAUCUCGUUGGUCUCGGGAUGGGAGUAAUGAUUAAGAGGAACAGUUGGGGGCAUUCGUAUUUCAUUGUCAGAGGUGAAAUUCUUGGAUUUAUGAAAGACGAACUUCUGCGAAAGCAUUUGCCAAGGAUGUUUUCAUUAAUCAAGAACGAAAGUUGGGGGCUCGAAGAUGAUUAGAUACCAUCCUAGUCUCAACCAUAAACGAUGCCGACUAGGGAUUGGUGGAUGUUAAUUGAUGACUUCACCAGCACCUUAUGAGAAAUCAAAGUUUUUGGGUUCCGGGGGGAGUAUGGUCGCAAGGCUGAAACUUAAAGGAAUUGACGGAAGGGCACCACCAGG
This 552-nucleotide ribosomal RNA is filed under the name uncultured marine eukaryote. RNAcentral's name for it is "SSU rRNA". It matches the Rfam family "Eukaryotic small subunit ribosomal RNA", at positions 610 to 1174 of the family's 1831-position model. The record is from RNAcentral.